AUAGUAGCUAGGCUUUGUGGAAGAGUAUCAUGAAACAAGUCUUCUGGAAAAGCAGUUUUCAGCACUUUCAGACUGAGCAGCCAAAAUUAGUAUGAAGUAAAUGAGAAAGAAAAGAUCUUGAAGGACUGAAGUACUUCGCCAUAGAGCAAAGAGAGGCCCUAAGCUGUUGCAGGCCAUAACAUGAUCUGGAGAAGAAUGAACUGUGUGCCUGAGCUGCUGGGUUUAUUUGUUAAAAUGUUAGAGGGGAAAGUGUGACCUGGAGAAGAAUAAGGAAUCCUUACAGUCUUGCACACUCCUCUGCAUAGCUGUUGUAAAAAAUGCUGUAGCUGAUUCUGAUUAGUAUCCACAUAUCUAAUUGCACUCAGCCUGUUUAUGAUUGUUUGUGCUUAGGAUUUUAUGGCAAUUCUGCAUGCAAUUAGUUUAGAAGUUGGAAGGUGAGUUUUAAUGAAUCUGCUUGUACUGAUUUAAGAUUUCCCCUGGCAGUUGGAAAUUGCCAAUUUCAUUAUAGUCAGAAGAAUAAGGUGAGCUGUGGUUCAGACUUUCUAUCUUAACCCAUAUUUGACUGAAGUGCUGAUGUGAAUGGAGCCAGACUGUCAGCAAGAAGAGCUGAAAUGCAGGCUCACGUCUUGCUUUCUGUUUUCUGUUAGGGGCAGAGCAAUCCUGUUUGGUGCUUAUACUAGUACCCAAGUGCUAGAUGUCAAUGCUAACUUUUAAAGCUCUUGUCUGCCAUCCUUUUCCCGCUUCUAAAGCUUUAUUACUGCUGUGGUAUCAGUCUGCAGAGUGAUGCAGUGACUUUUUUUAUCUGCAUGUAUUAUCAAUACAAAAGUCAUUGUAGGUUUAGCGCUCCUACUGAACUUGAUGGCUGAUAAAAUAUGACAUCUAGAGAAUGCUCUGAAAAGAUGAACAAUUUUUCAUGCUACUGACUAAACAGUUCAAACACUGAACAUCAGUAGGAUUUUGCUAUCUAAGAAGUCAAACUCAAUGAAAUCUUUUUAACUAAGAGAGGAGAUUCAGUGUAGGUAUAAGGCCAGAGAUAGAGGUAAAGCCAGAAGCCCAGCUGAAGUGUAUGUACACUAAUGCACACAGUAUGGGUAAUAA
Long non-coding RNA from Pogoniulus pusillus (Red-fronted tinkerbird), 1098 nucleotides. RefSeq lists it as uncharacterized. The record is from RefSeq and is a predicted model, not a curated record. Lineage: Eukaryota; Metazoa; Chordata; Aves; Piciformes; Lybiidae. The transcript has 3 exons.